UUUUAUGAGAGUUUGAUCCUGGCUCAGGACGAACGCUGGCGGCGUGCCUAAUACAUGCAAGUCGUACGCUUCUUUUUCCACCGGAGCUUGCUCCACCGGAAAAAGAAGAGUGGCGAACGGGUGAGUAACACGUGGGUAACCUGCCCAUCAGAAGGGGAUAACACUUGGAAACAGGUGCUAAUACCGUAUAACAAUCGAAACCGCAUGGUUUUGAUUUGAAAGGCGCUUUCGGGUGUCGCUGAU
This 243-nucleotide ribosomal RNA is filed under the name Enterococcus faecium. RNAcentral's name for it is "partial 16S ribosomal RNA". It matches the Rfam family "Bacterial small subunit ribosomal RNA", at positions 1 to 222 of the family's 1533-position model. Lineage: Bacteria; Bacillati; Bacillota; Bacilli; Lactobacillales; Enterococcaceae. The record is from RNAcentral.